GACACAUUUAUACUACAAUGUUGCGCUGAAAAUAACUUUUUGCUUUUUUAAAUAUAGCAGAUAGAGAGAUAUGCCAGUGACCGUACAGUGUACAGGCAGUACCAGAUAACGGAUGAGAUCCAUUCCCUGGGCGGGGCUGUAAGUCGAAUUUAUAGAGUUACCUCACAGAAACUGUCCCUCUUGAGGGGGUCCAGGACUGGGAGCACGUGCCGGGGGUCAAAAGACGCGCCUCGCCCACCCACCAUACAGAUAGACUCGGUGCGGCCAGGCCACGUGACGCCUUGCCUUCAUCACCUUUGGACCCUCGAAGGCUGCCUGUCUCAUGAUGAGUUGCAAAGGUCAUCUGCCCUGGCCACCUCAGGACCCAGGCUCCGCCCCUUUGUGGCGAAAUCGGUGGAACGGUAACUUUGACCCACCCUUCCACGGUGGCCCCGUGCCCUGAGUUUGGUUUCGGAAAUGUGCGAAACGCCUUGUCCAAUAUACCAGCAAAUCAUUACACUUUUAGCCACCAUAAGAACAUGGCAAACAGCUAGAGCUGGUAAAACAUGUGACUCUUGCAGUCAGUUACACUUAUAUCUUUGUAUUUAUACAUGUGACAGUUUUCAAAGAAUUGAUUAAGCAAUGUUGUUGGAAAACAAAUGAAAGUUAGGUUAUGGUGUUUAAGAACACCUAUAACAAUGAUGACUUUCUUUAGUAUAUAUUAUUGUUAUUAUUAUUUCAUGCCGAAUAUAUAACAAACCCAAGCAAAAUUAAAACAGAAAGGAAAUUACCUUAACGGAUCAGACUGAGGGAUGUAUGCAGAAAACAUGUUGUGCCUAAACAGUGAAACACAACACACCUUAGCACACUGUCCUAUAGAAGCAUCCAUCCAUCCAUCCAUCAUCCAUCCAUCCAACUUUCGGUAUGCAACACUCCUGUCUAGUGAUGUGGAUAGAGAUCUAAAAAAGUCACAACAUAUUGAUUUUUAACUAUUAAUAGCAUUUGUAAAUGUUACUUUUUUAUAUAAUGACAAUAAUUUAAUAUUUUCAUAUUUUAUUAUUUGCAGUAUGUGGGUGAAUCGCUUCAGGCUUUUGUAAACUUUGAGCUUUAAGGAUACAAAAUGAGUUUAUGCUGAUGAUUGAAUUACUGACAGCUGGAUACUUGACAUGUAAUAUUUAAAGUAGCAUGCAAUAUUUAUAGUUUUUAUAUGUUGGGAUUAGCAAUGAAUUUCAACUAGAUGAGACUGUUGAACUUGAAUUGCUGUUUUACCUUUGACCUGAUCCAAUGUCCGCAUGUAACUGUAAACUCUAGUGCUCAUAGAAGGGGGAUCUGUUAUUAAUAGCAAAAUCACAUUUAUGCAAUGACCAUAACUGCAAGGCAGAGAGCCUCAAAACAAUAUUGCAGAGCUGUAUUGCACUAUACCGCCUGACCCUUCAAAUAAGGAAGCCAGUUUGAUCACCAUUUGUGUCCGUGGACAUCCCCAAAGACAACCUUUGUGUUUCAGCAGGGUUUACAGGGGAAUUUAUAGAAAAUAGUCAC
Molecule: long non-coding RNA, 1518 nt
Organism: Paramormyrops kingsleyae
Lineage: Eukaryota; Metazoa; Chordata; Actinopteri; Osteoglossiformes; Mormyridae
Source: RefSeq, a predicted model, not a curated record